Molecule: transfer RNA, 74 nt
Filed under: Rubrivirga sp. SAORIC476
Lineage: Bacteria; Pseudomonadati; Rhodothermota; Rhodothermia; Rhodothermales; Rubricoccaceae
Also listed under: 1 other name
Description: tRNA-Arg
Rfam family: tRNA
About the family: Transfer RNA (tRNA) molecules are approximately 80 nucleotides in length. Their secondary structure includes four short double-helical elements and three loops (D, anti-codon, and T loops). Further hydrogen bonds mediate the characteristic L-shaped molecular structure. tRNAs have two regions of fundamental functional importance: the anti-codon, which is responsible for specific mRNA codon recognition, and the 3' end, to which the tRNAs corresponding amino acid is attached (by aminoacyl-tRNA synthetases). tRNAs cope with the degeneracy of the genetic code in two manners: having more than one tRNA (with a specific anti-codon) for a particular amino acid; and 'wobble' base-pairing, i.e. permitting non-standard base-pairing at the 3rd anti-codon position.
Source: RNAcentral
GCCCCGGUAGCUUAAUUGGAUAAAGCGACGGCCUUCUAAGCCGUUGAGUCCAGGUUCGAGUCCUGGCCGGGGUA